Molecule: long non-coding RNA, 119 nt
Organism: Prionailurus viverrinus (fishing cat)
Lineage: Eukaryota; Metazoa; Chordata; Mammalia; Carnivora; Felidae
Exons: 3
Source: RefSeq, a predicted model, not a curated record
UCCCUAAUCGUGGCCCCUUGGACAAAUGGCAGGCUCUGCACUCAUGAGAACCUCAGCACUGCCCUUCCCCAUUCAUGCCCACCAAUAAAUGCUGCUUCCUGUUUCUUAUACACUCUGAC